CGCGCAGUAGGGGAGCCUGGUCGUCCCCGCGAGCUUCAUGCGCUCGAGAUCGUCAGUUCAAAUCUGGCCUGCGCAACCA
This 79-nucleotide transfer RNA is filed under the name Variovorax sp. JS1663. RNAcentral describes it as "tRNA-Met". It matches the Rfam family "tRNA". From Rfam's summary of the family: Transfer RNA (tRNA) molecules are approximately 80 nucleotides in length. Lineage: Bacteria; Pseudomonadati; Pseudomonadota; Betaproteobacteria; Burkholderiales; Comamonadaceae. The record is from RNAcentral.